AUACUUACCUGCAGGGGAAAUACCACACUCAUGAAUGUGAUUUUCCUAGGGUAAGGCUCUUUCAAUGCUCUUCGGUGGGGGUUGACCUCCAUGAUUCUCCUAAACGUGAGGACGUCAGCUGCAUAAUUUAUGUUUGUGGAGAGCUGCAUUCGUGCUGUUCCCUG
Protopterus annectens (West African lungfish) is the source of this 164-nucleotide small nuclear RNA. RefSeq annotates it as U1 spliceosomal RNA. Lineage: Eukaryota; Metazoa; Chordata; Ceratodontiformes; Protopteridae. The transcript has a single exon. The record is from RefSeq and is a predicted model, not a curated record.